This 286-nucleotide small RNA is filed under the name Neobacillus bataviensis LMG 21833. RNAcentral's name for it is "Bacillus bataviensis LMG 21833 5' ureB small RNA". It matches the Rfam family "5' ureB small RNA". The record is from Rfam by way of RNAcentral. Lineage: Bacteria; Bacillati; Bacillota; Bacilli; Caryophanales; Bacillaceae.
CUUCAACCUGUGCCGGGUUAAUGAAAUGGACAUGCGUAUCGAUUCCUCCCGCAGUGACAAUCAUACCUUCACCGGCAAUGAUUUCGGUUGAAGCACCGAUGACAAUAUCUACACCAUCCAUGACCAAUGGAUUACCGGCUUUUCCAAUUGCAGCGAUUUUCCCAUCACGGAUGGCAAUAUCUGCUUUGACAAUCCCUGUAUAAUCUAAAAUAACUGCAUUCGUGAUAACUACAUCCGGGAUGCCAUCCCCUCUGGUUACUAGUGGAUGCUGCCCCAUUCCGUCACG